UGACCUUGCCUGAUUUUCCGAGAGGUGGUGCAUGGCCGUCGUCAGUUCGUACCGUUAAGGCGUUUCUCUUAAGUGAGAUAACGAACGAGACCCUCACCAUUAGUUGCUAGUCUCUUCUCCGGAGGGGGGCGCACACUAAUGGGACCGCUGGUGCUAAAUCAGAGGAAGGAGAGGUCAACGGUAGGUCCGUAUGCCCCGAAUCCCCUGGGCUACACGCGCGCUACAAAGGGCAGGACAAUGGGCUCCAACACCGAAAGGUGAAGGCAAUCCCGAAACCUGUCCGUAGUUCGGAUUGAGGGCUGUAACUCGCCCUCAUGAAGCUGGAUUCCGUAGUAAUCGCUUGUCAACAUCAAGCGGUGAAUAUGCCCCUGCUCCUU
RNAcentral lists this ribosomal RNA (377 nucleotides) under uncultured Thermoplasmatales archaeon. Its description in RNAcentral is "bacterial SSU rRNA". It matches the Rfam family "Archaeal small subunit ribosomal RNA", at positions 963 to 1338 of the family's 1478-position model. The record is from RNAcentral. Lineage: Archaea; Methanobacteriati; Thermoplasmatota; Thermoplasmata; Thermoplasmatales.